Molecule: ribosomal RNA, 253 nt
Filed under: uncultured bacterium
Lineage: Bacteria
Description: partial 16S ribosomal RNA
Rfam family: Bacterial small subunit ribosomal RNA
Source: RNAcentral
UACGUAGGUGGCAAGCGUUAUCCGGAAUUAUUGGGCGUAAAGCGCGCGCAGGUGGUUUCUUAAGUCUAAUGUGAAAGCCCACGGCUCAACCGUGGAGGGUCAUUGGAAACUGGGAGACUUGAGUGCAGAAGAGGAAAGUGGAAUUCCAUGUGUAGCGGUGAAAUGCGUAGAGAUAUGGAGGAACACCAGUGGCGAAGGCGACUUUCUGGUCUGUAACUGACACUGAGGCGCGAAAGCGUGGGGAGCAAACAGG